Molecule: transfer RNA, 88 nt
Filed under: Deltaproteobacteria bacterium
Lineage: Bacteria; Pseudomonadati; Myxococcota; Myxococcia
Description: tRNA-Ser
Rfam family: tRNA
About the family: Transfer RNA (tRNA) molecules are approximately 80 nucleotides in length. Their secondary structure includes four short double-helical elements and three loops (D, anti-codon, and T loops). Further hydrogen bonds mediate the characteristic L-shaped molecular structure. tRNAs have two regions of fundamental functional importance: the anti-codon, which is responsible for specific mRNA codon recognition, and the 3' end, to which the tRNAs corresponding amino acid is attached (by aminoacyl-tRNA synthetases). tRNAs cope with the degeneracy of the genetic code in two manners: having more than one tRNA (with a specific anti-codon) for a particular amino acid; and 'wobble' base-pairing, i.e. permitting non-standard base-pairing at the 3rd anti-codon position.
Source: RNAcentral
GGAGAGAUGUCCGAGUGGCUUAAGGAGCACGAUUGGAAAUCGUGUGUGGGGCAACCCACCGGGGGUUCGAAUCCCCCUCUCUCCGCCA